This 71-nucleotide transfer RNA is filed under the name Conocephalus differentus. RNAcentral describes it as "tRNA-Lys". Lineage: Eukaryota; Metazoa; Arthropoda; Insecta; Orthoptera; Tettigoniidae. The record is from RNAcentral.
CAUCAGAUGACUGAAUGUAAGUGCUGGUCUCUUAAACCAUUAUAUAGUAGUUAUACACCUACUUCUGAUGA